Molecule: transfer RNA, 71 nt
Filed under: Ipomoea nil (Japanese morning glory)
Lineage: Eukaryota; Viridiplantae; Streptophyta; Magnoliopsida; Solanales; Convolvulaceae
Rfam family: tRNA
About the family: Transfer RNA (tRNA) molecules are approximately 80 nucleotides in length. Their secondary structure includes four short double-helical elements and three loops (D, anti-codon, and T loops).
Source: Rfam by way of RNAcentral
GUCGUUGUAGUAUAGUGGUGAGUAUCCCGCCUGUCACGCGGGAGACCCGGGUUCGAUCCCCGGCAACGUCU